This 431-nucleotide ribosomal RNA is filed under the name uncultured bacterium. Its description in RNAcentral is "partial 16S ribosomal RNA". It matches the Rfam family "Bacterial small subunit ribosomal RNA", at positions 29 to 507 of the family's 1533-position model. The record is from RNAcentral.
AACGAACGCUGGCGGCAGGCUUAACACAUGCAAGUCGAGCGCCCCGCCAGGGGAGCGGCUGACGGGUGAGUACCGCGUGGGAACGUAUCUUUUGGUUCGGAACAACUCCGGGAAACUGGAGCUAAUACCGGAUAAGCCCUAACGGGGAAAGAUUUAUCGCCGAAAGAUCGGCCCGCGUCUGAUUAGCUAGUUGGUGAGGUAACGGCGCACCAAGGCGACGAUCAGUAGCUGGUCUGAGAGGAUGAUCAGCCACACUGGGACUGAGACACGGCCCAGACUCCUACGGGAGGCAGCAGUGGGGAAUAUUGGACAAUGGGCGCAAGCCUGAUCCAGCCAUGCCGCGUGAGUGAUGAAGGCCUUAGGGUUGUAAAGCUCUUUUGUCCGGGAAGAUAAUGACGGUACCGGAAGAAUAAGCCCCGGCUAACUUCGUG